Molecule: transfer RNA, 28 nt
Filed under: Filipendula vulgaris
Lineage: Eukaryota; Viridiplantae; Streptophyta; Magnoliopsida; Rosales; Rosaceae
Also listed under: 2 other names
Description: partial transfer RNA-Phe (GAA)
Source: RNAcentral
UCGGGAUAGCUCAGCUGGUAGAGCAGAG